GGCGCCUGGAGUCAAACCUCUUAAGCCAGUUCCCGGAGGGCUUGUGGGUGCUGGCCUUGGGGCAGGGCUCGGCGCCUUCCCCGCAGUUACCUUUCCGGGGGCUCUGGUGCCUGGUGGAGUGGCUGACGCUGCUGCAGCCUAUAAAGCUGCUAAGGCUGGCGCUGGGCUUGGUGGUGUCCCAGGAGUUGGUGGCUUAGGAGUGUCUGCAGGUGCGGUGGUUCCUCAGCCUGGAGCCGGAGUGAAGCCUGGGAAAGUGCCGGGUGUGGGGCUGCCAGGUGUAUACCCAGGUGGCGUGCUCCCAGGUGAGGGCAAGGAGGGAAACAGGGACUCUAUAGGAAGAAAGCAGCCAGGACGCAGUG
Molecule: long non-coding RNA, 359 nt
Filed under: Pan troglodytes (chimpanzee)
Lineage: Eukaryota; Metazoa; Chordata; Mammalia; Primates; Hominidae
Description: long non-coding RNA NONPTRT016244
Source: RNAcentral